Long non-coding RNA from Dioscorea cayenensis subsp. rotundata (Guinea yam), 924 nucleotides. RefSeq lists it as uncharacterized. NCBI's taxonomy places the organism in Eukaryota, Viridiplantae, Streptophyta, Magnoliopsida, Dioscoreales, Dioscoreaceae. The record is from RefSeq and is a predicted model, not a curated record. The transcript has 2 exons.
CUUGUUUUCUUGAGUUCUCUCUCAUUUCUCUUCCGAUUCCCCUCAUUUUUUCACCGUUCUUCUUCAUUUUUUCUCCUCUAAUAUUCUCUCCUCCCCUUUGCAACCCCAAUCCCACCAUUUAUUUGGAGUUUUACCGACUUUCUCGCCGGAUCUACUCACCAAGGGAUGCUGAUCAAGCAUUUGGUCUCCAGACGAGCAAGGAGAAGCUCUCCACCACCCGUUAGUGAGCCAAGAUUUACAAAUGAAGCCCACAAGACACGAUACGCCUUAUUGUCUAGGAAGGGAUUCGGCACCAUUAGAAGAAAUUAUUGGGGAAGUUUCUUUACUCCGUCCCUUUGUUUUUGUUACAUAUCUAGCACCAUGUACUGCUGAUUAUUGUACAUUGAGGGCAAUGUACGACUCUAGGUGUGGGGAUGGGGUAUUUUAUACCUUUACAUGAGUGGCAACCAAUGAUAGCUUUGAUCUAAUGUUAAGGAGUUCCUAGCUGAAAGAAGGAUAGAUAUGAGUUGCUAUUUUUGUUAUGAUUUGUGAAAUGAAGUUCUAUUCCUACUUUAGUGCUUUCGGUAAAAUUGUCUAGCACACGCUUCUACCUUGUUCAUUCCGACUAACCCAUUGCCAUGACUUAAGAUGUUAGGUUGUUAAACUCUACAUACAAUGAUCAACUAAGAGCUCUUGGCACCCAUGUAUUUUUGUUUUUAGUCAUAAGUGAAGUUUUGCAUGAAGAAGGUUAGGAGACAUAAACUAAGACUUGUAUGCAUUUGUAAAUAAAAAAAAAAAGAGUCUAUGUCAGUAUUCCUCUGCUCGUGUAGCAUGAAUGCGUCUAUGCAGCUUGUUAUCGAGUAAGUUGGGUGGCUCUUGUGCCUAAUCAGCAUGUGCAUCCAUCGGAAAGAUUUUGUGCAAGUCUACGUUAGGCGGACUCAAAAA